RNAcentral lists this ribosomal RNA (410 nucleotides) under Notocosa bellicosa. RNAcentral's name for it is "partial 12S ribosomal RNA". Lineage: Eukaryota; Metazoa; Arthropoda; Arachnida; Araneae; Lycosidae. The record is from RNAcentral.
UAAACUAGGAUUAGAUACCCUAGUAUUUAAGAACAUUUUAGGAAGUAAAACCAUUAUUUUAAACCUAUUUAAAAUGACGGCAUUUCAUCUCAUUAAAGGAAUCUGUUUUAUAAUCGACAAUCCACGAUAAUUUUCACUUAAAUCAUAAAAUUUAUAUACCGCCAUCUUAAAAAUUAAUUUAAUAAUAUUAUUUUAAAUAACUAAAUAAAAAGACAGGUCAAGGUGUAGUCUAUAUUUAAGCAAAUAAUGGAUUACAUUAAAAAUAAUUUAAGGAUUAGAAAUAUAAAUUUCUCUAUGAAAAAGGAUUUAAAAGUAAUACUACAAUAAUAUUUUAUUAUGAAUUAGAUAAUAAAUGUGUACAUAUCGCCCGUCACCCUUAUCACAAGGUAAGAUAAGUCGUAACAUAGUAA